UCACUGCUGACGAGUCCCAUACUAGGACGAAACGGCCGUCCAGUGC
Molecule: non-coding RNA, 46 nt
Filed under: Schistosoma curassoni
Lineage: Eukaryota; Metazoa; Platyhelminthes; Trematoda; Strigeidida; Schistosomatidae
Source: RNAcentral